AAUAUUAUAAAAAAUAUUUAAUAGGAAAUAUAUUGGAAGUUGUUUUUUUGAUUUCUUAAAUACUUCAAAUUUGUUCUUUUCAAUGAAAAACUUCUAAAUUUGAAUUCAUUAAUAAGAGAUCUAAGAGCUCUUGAUAAUAUAUAAAACCAAAUUGCCUUCGUGAGAUAAUGCUUCAGAUGGGGUUUUUGCAUCAGUAGAUCUCAUGGGUUAUGCUCUUUGUUGAAACAGUAAAUUAUAUCGUUAUAGUUAAUGAGGAUGUAUUUGGACCGAUUAUUUUCGACAGGGAUAUCUUUCAAGGUGAUCCUAUUUCUUCCUAUAUGUUUAUUAUUUGCGCAGAAGGUCUUUCGGUGCUUAUUCGCCAAGCUAAAGCACAAGAUGAGAUUCAUAGAACCAACACUUGUCGAAAUGCAUACCUUAUUUCUCACUUAUUAUUUCCAUAUGACUGAUUCCUUUUCUUCAUAGGUAAUAAUGAAGCUUUGACUAUGAAAAAUAUUUUUACUACCUAUGAGGCAACAACUGUCUGAUAUUCUAGGGUGUACAUGUUGUCUGGGCACCGGGAAGAAUUUGGGGCUCCCCUCCAUAGUUGGUGUUGGAACAUGUAGUAUGUUAAGAUUUUUUUUUUUUAAAUCUCAUAUUAGAAAACUCUCGUAGAUUAGUUUUCAACUCUGUAGAUAUUAAAGUCUCACAUUGGUUAGAAAAUAUAUCUGAGUUUGCUUCCAUCACUAUAUAAUGAAUUUUCCAACUUUCUCUUUUCUCCCUUUUGUAUUAUGCUCGCCUAAUUUUCGAGCAACUUAUCCCCUUUCUUUCUGAUCUUCAAUAUUUAUAAGCGGUUUUUUAGGUUAUGCUGUAGUUCCUUCGUUUUUUCUGCCAUAUUGAGGGUGUAAUUCUAGAACGGUUUUCUAUGGUGCAGUGGAACUCCGAUACAAUGAAUCUGAGCUGUUUAUAAUCUGUCUUGCGCAAUUUGGGCAAUGCGUCUUAAGCUGUGAAACGUCUUAAAGAGAGCGACCUAGUCCGCGACUCAAACCAGUGAUAUCUUCGGUGGCAUAAAUUGUGAUUUUUAAAUAAUUUUCUAAAACUCAAAAAUAACAAUUUUAAGAUGUUUCUUUUUUUGUCGUGUCAACCGAAGAGAUUACUGGAUUUGGUUAUGUUGCCUCUGAUUUCAAUAAACUGUUUCAGUUUAGGGCAAACAGAAAAGGAUAAAAAAGUUGGAGAAUUAAUUCAUGGGAGAAUAAUUAUAAGAAUUAUAUUCUUAAUGGAAUUGCUGAUGAUCUGUAUAACUAUUACAGUUCCAACAAUACUGCUAGAUAUGUUUGAGAUACUAUGAAUAAGUAAGUUGUGAGCUGCUACCUAGAGUAUCAGAUGACCGAUGACAGAUCCAUAGAGGUUGACAGAUUCGUGGAGGCACACUCUCGUAAAAUUCAGAAGAUAACUCAUGAGAUCAUCUAUUAAGGUUGAUAAACAAGAGAUACAAAUCACCUUGAAGAUUUGAUAUCAUUUUUUUGUCAUUCAUUGGACUUUGAAUGUGUUUUGUUGGAUGAUAUGUGUAACUGUUUAUGGGAUUCAUUUGGUUUUAUUUGUAAUUUUUGAAGGACUUUUUAGAAUUUGUUAAUUAUGAAUUCAUUUUGUUUUUGUUUUUUUUUUUAUGGGAAGGUUGUUGCAUUACAAACUUGGUAGUUAUAAUUUUAUUAGAUUUGAUUAUAA
Cicer arietinum (chickpea) is the source of this 1701-nucleotide long non-coding RNA. RefSeq lists it as uncharacterized. The record is from RefSeq and is a predicted model, not a curated record. NCBI's taxonomy places the organism in Eukaryota, Viridiplantae, Streptophyta, Magnoliopsida, Fabales, Fabaceae.